UGACCGUACACCUCAUGUCAUACAAUCUCUAGCUGAAUGUACACAUCAUGUCAUACGAUCUCUAGCUGACUGUACACAUUAUGUCAUACAAUCUUUAGCUGACUGUACACCUUAUGUCAUACAAUCUCUAGCUGACUGUACACCUUAGGUGUACAAUCUCCGAGAGACUACACCUGAUGUCAAACAAUCUCUGAGAGACUGUACACCUCAUGUCAUACAAUCUCUAGCUGAAUGUACACAUCAUGUCAUACAAUCUUUAGCUGAAUGUACACAUCAUGUCAUACGAUCUCUAGCUGACUGUACACAUUAUGUCAUACAAUCUUUAGCUGACUGUACACCUUAUGUCAUACAAUCUCUAGCUGACUGUACACCUUAGGUCAUAAAAUCUCUAGCUGACUGUACACCUUAGGUCAUACAAUCUCUAGCUGACUGUGCACCAUAGGUCAUAAAAUCUCUAGCUGACUGUACACCUUAGGUCAUACAAUCUCUAGCUGACUGUACACCUCAUGUCAUACAAUCUCUAGCUGACUGUGCACCUUAGGUCAUGCAGUCUCUAGCUGACUGUACACCUUAGGUGUACAAUCUCUGAGAGACUGUACACUUCAUGUCAUACAAUCUGUGAGAGACUGUACACUUCAUGUCAUACAAUCUCUGAGAGACUGUACACUUCAUGUCAUACAAUCUCUGAGAGACUGUAACUUCAUGUCAUACAAUCUCUGAGAGACUGUAACUUCAUGUCAUACAAUCUCUGAGAGACUGUACACUUCAUGUCAUACAAUCUCUGAGAGACUGUAACUUCAUGUCAUACAAUCUCUGAGAGACUGUACACUUCAUGUCAUACAAUCUCUGAGAGACUGUACACUUCAUGUCAUACAAUCUCUGAGAGAUUGUAACUUCAUGUCAUACAAUCUCUGAGAGACUGUACACUUCAUGUCAUACAAUCUCUGAGAGACUGUACACUUCAUGUCAUACAAUCUCUGAGAGAUUGUAACUUCAUGUCAUACAAUCUCUGAGAGACUGUACACUUCAUGUCAUACAAUCUGUGAGAGACUACACUUCAUGUCAUACAAUCAAUGAUAGACCUUGUACAGCCUAUAUCACACAAUCUCAAGCUGACAUUCUUAUGAGAGUCAUAGAAUUCAGUCAAUAUGUGGUGCAAUUGCACAUUUAAAUUAAUAACUGAAUCAUUAUACACUGUGCAAUGGGAAUUGAAAAUAAACUAUUUUCAUCAUA
Haliotis rufescens (red abalone) is the source of this 1233-nucleotide long non-coding RNA. RefSeq lists it as uncharacterized. The transcript has 2 exons. Lineage: Eukaryota; Metazoa; Mollusca; Gastropoda; Lepetellida; Haliotidae. The record is from RefSeq and is a predicted model, not a curated record.